CAGUCGUCUAUCUGAGUAGGGCUUAUAAAAUGAAUAUGGGAGUCAAUUCCGCCUGCUGUUACGAUAAGAUUUUCUCCGGCGAGAGCUUCUGUUGAUGCACCUAUAGUCAUUCCGGGUGUUACAUCAGUCAUAAUAUCGGGGUUGCCGGCUUUUCCUAUACCUGCGAUUCUGCCGUUUUUAAUUCCGAUGUCUGCUUUAAUGAUACCGGUGUAAUCCAAUAUCAGGGCAUUUGUGAUAACGAGGUCGAGAUCACCGUCAGAACUUGUUGUGCGGACAGACUGCCCCAUUCCGUCACGGAUUG
This is a non-coding RNA of Clostridium sp. CAG:253, 301 nucleotides long. The record is from Rfam. Lineage: Bacteria; Bacillati; Bacillota; Clostridia; Eubacteriales; Clostridiaceae.